RNAcentral lists this ribosomal RNA (540 nucleotides) under uncultured bacterium. RNAcentral describes it as "partial 16S ribosomal RNA". It matches the Rfam family "Bacterial small subunit ribosomal RNA", at positions 355 to 891 of the family's 1533-position model. The record is from RNAcentral.
UGGGGAAUAUUGCGCAAUGGGCGAAAGCCUGACGCAGCGACGCCGUGUGAGGGAAGAAGGCUUUCGGGUCGUAAACCUCUGUCGGGAGGGAAGAACCCCCAGGAGUCGAACAGGCUCUUGGGCUGACGGUACCUCCGAAGGAAGCACCGGCUAACUCCGUGCCAGCAGCCGCGGUAAUACGGAGGGUGCGAGCGUUAAUCGGAAUCACUGGGCGUAAAGCGCACGUAGGCGGUGCCGUAAGUCGGAUGUGAAAGCCCUCGGCUCAACCGGGGAACUGCAUUCGAUACUGCGGUGCUUGAGUGCCGGAGAGGGUGGCGGAAUUCCAGGUGUAGGAGUGAAAUCCGUAGAUAUCUGGAGGAACACCAGUGGCGAAGGCGGCACCUGGCCGGCAACUGACACUGAGGUGCGAAAGCGUGGGGAUCAAACAGGAUUAGAUACCCUGGUAGUCCACGCUGUAAACGAUGGAUACUAGGUGUCGGGGGGUUUACCCUCGGUGCCGCAGUUAACGCUUAAGUACCCGCCUGGGGAGUACGGUCGCAA